UUGGAGGGCAAGUCUGGUGCCAGCAGCCGCGGUAAUUCCAGCUCCAAUAGCGUAUAUUAAAGUUGUUGCAGUUAAAAAGCUCGUAGUUGAAUUUCGGGGUCAGCAGGUUGGUCGUGCCAAUGGUAUGCACUGGCCUUGCUGAUUCCUCCCUCUUGAUGAGCCGUAAUGUCAUUAAUUUGGUGUUGCGGGGAAUCAGGACUGUUACUUUGAAAAAAUUAGAGUGUUUAAAGCAGGCAAGCGCUUGAAUACAUUAGCAUGGAAUAAUGAAAUAGGACGUUUGAUCCUAUUUUGUUGGUUUCUAGGAUUGACGUAAUGAUUAAUAGGGAUAGUUGGGGGCAUUAGUAUUCAAUUGUCAGAGGUGAAAUUCUUGGAUUUAUUGAAGACUAACUACUGCGAAAGCAUUUGCCAAGGAUGUUUCAUUAAUCAAGAACGAAAGUUAGGGGAUCGAAGACGAUCAGAUACCGUCGUAGUCUUAACCAUAAACUAUGCCGACUAGGGAUCGGAUGAUGUUAAUUUUUUAAUGACUCAUUCGGCGCCUUACGGGAAAC
This 548-nucleotide ribosomal RNA is filed under the name uncultured Glomeromycotina. Its description in RNAcentral is "SSU rRNA". It matches the Rfam family "Eukaryotic small subunit ribosomal RNA", at positions 548 to 1098 of the family's 1831-position model. Lineage: Eukaryota; Fungi; Glomeromycota. The record is from RNAcentral.